Molecule: transfer RNA, 87 nt
Filed under: Candidatus Dormiibacterota bacterium
Lineage: Bacteria; Bacillati; Candidatus Dormiibacterota
Description: tRNA-Gln
Source: RNAcentral
GGUGCUGCUACGAACUCGGCCACCGGCACUUUCAUAAGCUGCCUGACUCUGGAUCAGGAGAUCGGAGGUUCGACCCCUUCCGCCCCA